Mytilus californianus (California mussel) is the source of this 2809-nucleotide long non-coding RNA. RefSeq lists it as uncharacterized. The record is from RefSeq and is a predicted model, not a curated record. NCBI's taxonomy places the organism in Eukaryota, Metazoa, Mollusca, Bivalvia, Mytilida, Mytilidae. The transcript is spliced from 3 exons.
UGAUCUUUAUUUUUAGCUCACCUGACCUGAAAGGUCAAGUGAGCUUUUCUCAUCACUUUGCGUCCGUCGUCCGUCGUCCGUCGUCCGUAAACUUUUACAAAAAUCUUCUCCUCUGAAACUACUGGGCCAAAUUUGACCAAACUUGGCCACAAUCAUCAUUGGGGUAUCUAGUUUAAAACAUGUGUCCGGUGACCCAGUCAACCAACCAAGAUGGCCGCCAUGGCUAAAAAUAGAACAUAGGGGUAAAAUGUAGAUUUUGGCUUAUAUCUCUGAAACCAAAGCAUUUAGAGCAAAUCUGACAUGGGGUAAAAUUGUUUACCAGGUCAAGAUCUAUCUGCCCUAAAAUUUUUAGAUGAAUCGGACAACCCGUUGUUGGGUUGCUGCCCCUGAAUUGGUAAUUUUAAGGAAAUUUUGCCGUUGGUUAUUAUCUUGAAUAUUAUUAUAGAUAGAGAUAAACUGUAAACAGCAAUAAUGUUCAGCAAAGUAAGAUCUACAAAUAAGUUAACAUGACCAAAAUGGUCAGUUGACCCCUUAAGGAGUAAUUGCCCUUUAUAGUCAAUUUUUAACCAUUUUUCGUAAAUUUUUGUAAUCUUUUACAAAAAUCUUCUCCUCUGAAACUACUAAGACAAAUUUAACCAAACUUGUCCACAAUCAUCAUAAGGGUAUAUAGUUUAAAAAAUGUGUCCGAUGACCCCGCCUGCGAACCAAGAUGGCCGACAUGGCUAAAAAAUAGUACAUAGGGUAAAAUGCAGUUAUUGGCUCAUAUCUCUGAAACCAAAGCAUUUAGAGCAAAUCUGAUCAGGAUACAAUUGUUCAUUAGGUCAAGAUCUAUCUGCCCUGAAAUUUUCAGACCAAUCAGGCAACCCGUUGUUGGGUUGCUGCCCCAUGAAUUGGUAAUUUUAAGGAAAUUUUGCCGUUUUUGGUUAUUAUCUUGAAUAUUAUUAUAGAUAGAGAUAAACUGUAAACAGCAAUAAUGUUCUGCAAAGUAAGAUCUACAAAUAAGUCAACAUGACCAAAAUGGUCAGUUGACCCCUUAAGGAGUUAUUGCCCUUUAUAGUCAAUUUUUAACCAUUUUUCGUAAAUUUUUGUAAUUUUUUACAAAAAUCUUCUCCUCUGAAACUACUAGGACAAAUUUAACCAAACUUGUCCACAAUCAUCAUAAGGGUAUCUAGUUUAAAAAAUGUGUCCGGUGACCCAGCCCGCGAACCAAGAUGGCCGACAUGGCUAAAAAAUAGUACAUAGGGUAAAAUGCAGUUUUUGGCUCAUAUCUCUGAAACAAAGCAUUUAGAGCAAAUCUGAUGAGGAUAAAAUUGUUAAUUAGGCCAAGAUCUAUCUGCCCUGAAAUUUUCAGACCAAUCAGGCAACCCGUUGUUGGGUUGCUGCCCCUGAAUUGGUAAUUUUAAGGAAAUUUUGCCGUUUUUGGUUAUUAUCUUGAAUAUUAUUAUAGAUAGAGAUAAACUGUAAACAGCAAUAAUGUUCAGCAAAGUAAGAUCUACAAAUAAGUCAACAUGACCAAAAUGGUCAGUUGACCCCUUAAGGAGUUAUUGCCCUUUAUAGUCAAUUUUUAACCAUUUUUCGUAAAUUUUUGUAAUUUUUUACAAAAAUCUUCUCCUCUGAAACUACUAAGACAAAUUUAACCAAACUUGUCCACAAUCAUCAUAAGGGUAUCUAGUUUAAAAAAUGUGUCCGAUGACCCCGCCCGCGAACCAAGAUGGCCGACAUGGCUAAAAAAUAGUACAUAGGGUAAAAUGCAGUUUUUGGCUCAUAUCUCUGAAACAAAGCAUUUAGAGCAAAUCUGAUGAGGAUAAAAUUGUUAAUUAGGCCAAGAUCUAUCUGCCCUGAAAUUUUCAGACCAAUCAGGCAACCCGUUGUUGGGUUGCUGCCCCUGAAUUGGUAAUUUUAAGGAAAUUUUGCCGUUUUUGGUUAUUAUCUUGAAUAUUAUUAUAGAUAGAGAUAAACUGUAAACAGCAAUAAUGUUCAGCAAAGUAAGAUCUACAAAUAAGUCAACAUGACCAAAAUGGUCAGUUGACCCCUUAAGGAGUUAUUGCCCUUUAUAGUCAAUUUUUAACCAUUUUUCGUAAAUUUUUGUAAUUUUUUACAAAAAUCUUCUCCUCUGAAACUACUAAGACAAAUUUAACCAAACUUGUCCACAAUCAUCAUAAGGGUAUCUAGUUUAAAAAAUGUGUCCGAUGACCCCGCCCGCGAACCAAGAUGGCCGACAUGGCUAAAAAAUAGUACAUAGGGUAAAAUGCAGUUUUUGGCUCAUAUCUCUGAAACCAAAGCAUUUAGAGCAAAUCUGAUGAGGAUAAAAUUGUUCAUUAGGUCAAGAUCUAUCUGCCCUGAAAUUUUCAGACCAAUCAGGCAACACGUUGUUGGGUUGCUGCCCCUGAAUUGGUAAUUUUAAGAAAAUUUUGCAGCUUUUGGUUAUUAUCUUGAAUAUUAUUAUAGAUAGAGAUAAACUGUAAACGGCAAUAAUGUACAGCAAAGUUAGAUCUACAAAUAAGGCAAACAUGACCAAAAUUGUCAAUUGACUCCUUAAGGAGUUAUUGCCCUUCAUAGUAAAUUUUUUACAAUUUUCAUAAAUUUUGUAAAUUUUUGUAAAUUUUUACAAAGUAUUUUCCACUGUAACUACCGGGCCAAGUUCAUUAUAGAUAGAGAUAAUAGUAAGGAGCAAGAAUGUUCAGUAAAGUAAGAUCUACAAACACAUCACCAUCACCAAAACACAAUUUUGUCAUGAAUCCAUCUGUGUCCUUUGUUUAAUAUGCACAUAGACCAAGGUGAGCGACACAGGCUCUUUAGAGCCUCUAGU